UCAUUCUUAACAGAGGUAAAUAUAGUUGGUGGCAUUCACCAUGUCAAUUUGGUAAAACUCAUUGGAUUUUGUGCCGAGAAAAGCCACAGGCUUCUAAUCUACGAGUACAUGAUAAAUGGAUCAUUGGAUAGGUGGAUUUCCCCUGAAAAGCAACAAAAUGAGCUUACAUGGCUUACAAGGCAAAAGAUAAUAUCAGAUAUUGCCAAAGGGUUAGCUUAUUUAUGAAAAGCAAGAAAAUGGGCUUACAUGGCUUACAAGGCAAAAGAUAAUAUCAGAUAUUGCCAAAGGGUUAGCGUAUCUACACGAGGAUUGCAGCCAGAAGAUAAUUCAUUUGGACAUCAAACCAC
Molecule: long non-coding RNA, 347 nt
Filed under: Nicotiana benthamiana
Lineage: Eukaryota; Viridiplantae; Streptophyta; Magnoliopsida; Solanales; Solanaceae
Description: long non-coding RNA (NBEN_LNC014566)
Source: RNAcentral